GGCUGGUCGGAAGGUAGUGAGUUAUCUCACUUGAUUUGUUCAUGGUCAGUUACUGACUGAACUCCUUGUUCUGCUACUUUCCCCCCUCCUCACUAUUGCACUAGUCUUUU
Molecule: Y RNA, 110 nt
Filed under: Propithecus coquereli (Coquerel's sifaka)
Lineage: Eukaryota; Metazoa; Chordata; Mammalia; Primates; Indriidae
Description: Y RNA (ENSPCOG00000004618.1)
Rfam family: Y RNA
About the family: Y RNAs are components of the Ro ribonucleoprotein particle (Ro RNP), in association with Ro60 and La proteins. The Y RNAs and Ro60 and La proteins are well conserved, but the function of the Ro RNP is not known. In humans the RNA component can be one of four small RNAs -- hY1, hY3, hY4 and hY5.
Source: RNAcentral